AUAAGCAAUUUAAUCAGACUCUUAACUCCUAGUGGAAUGGAUGCAAUAAUUAAAUGUUUUCCAACAACAACAAAAGGCCCAGGGCCAGAUGUAUUCAAUACAGUACUCCCAGACCUUCAACUUCAAAGAAGAAUUAACACUAAUACCCCUCAAAUUAUUCCACAAAAAGAAAACAGAAAGAACAUUGCCUAGUACUUUUUAUAAGCCUGCAAUUACCCUGAUGCCAAAUCCAUAUAAAUACUCAGGAAAACCAGAAAGUUAUAGAUCAAUAUCUGUUAUAAACAUACAUACAACAAUUCUCAAUAAAAUAGUUGCAAAUGGAAUCCAAGAACACAUCAAAGAGUAUUCAUCAUGAUUUAGUAGAGAUUAGUAGGCUUCAUCUCAGAAAGUGAGGGAAGGUCCAAUGCAUGUAAAUCAAUAAAUGAAAUUGGACACAUAAACAGACUGAGAUAUAACAACCAUAAGAUCAUCUGCUAGGUUCAGAAACGCCCUUUGACAAAAUCAAACAUCCCUUCAUGAUAAAAAUCCUAGAAAGACUAGGGAUAGCACAACAUAAUAAAGUCAAUUUAGAGCAAGCUCACAGCCUAUGUCAACCUAAUGAAGAGUUUCUUCACUAAAAUCUGGAACAAGACAAGGAUAUCCACUCUCUCCAUAGUAUUCACUAUAGUAUGCAAAGUCUUAGCUAGAAAAAUAAGACAACGAAGAGAUCACUGCUUUCCUUCAUAAUACUUGCUUGAAUCACCGUGUUUCUUUACAGCACUACAACAGGGAUGAAGACACCAAGCAAGUCAAAGACUUGCAUAAUAAAAAAUUUAAGACACUGAAGAAAGAAACUGAAAUAGAUAUCAGAAAUAGAUAGAUCUCCCAUGCUCAUGGAUGGGUAGGAUUAAUAGAGUAGAAAUGGCCAUCCUACCAAAGCCUCUAAACAAGAUGUGGGUAGCACAGUCAUUAAAACAAGCAAUAAGUUUGACCUCAUUAAGCUGAAAAGGCUGUGUAAGGCAAAGGACAUCUUCAUUCAAGCAAAGCAGCAGUCUUCAAAGUAAGAAAAACUCUUUACCAAUUAUUUAAAAUAUAUAAAGAACU
This 1083-nucleotide long non-coding RNA is filed under the name Mus musculus (house mouse). RNAcentral describes it as "long non-coding RNA chrX:95909308-95910391". Lineage: Eukaryota; Metazoa; Chordata; Mammalia; Rodentia; Muridae. The record is from RNAcentral.